UACGUAGGCAGCAAGCGUUGUUCGGAGUUACUGGGCGUAAAGGGUGCGUAGGCGGCUCUGUAAGUAUGGUGUGAAAUCUCCCGGCUUAACUGGGAGGGUGCGCUAUAGACUGCGGGGCUCGAGUGUGGGAGAGGAAAGUGGAAUUCCUGGUGUAGCGGUGAAAUGCGUGGAUAUCAGGAGGAACACCGGUGGUGUAAACGGCUUUCUGGACCAUAACUGACGCUGAGGCACGAAAGCGUGGGUAGCAAACAGG
This 253-nucleotide ribosomal RNA is filed under the name uncultured bacterium. RNAcentral's name for it is "partial 16S ribosomal RNA". It matches the Rfam family "Bacterial small subunit ribosomal RNA", at positions 524 to 776 of the family's 1533-position model. The record is from RNAcentral.